UACGAAGGGUGCAAGUGUUACUCGGAAUUACUGGGCGUAAAGCGUGCGUAGGUGGUUUGUUAAGUCUGAUGUGAAAGCCCUGGGCUCAACCUGGGAAUUGCAUUGGAUACUGGCAGGCUAGAGUGCGGUAGAGGAUGGCGGAACUCCCGGUGUAGCAGUGAAAUGCGUAGAGAUCCGGAGGAAUACCAGUGGCGAAGGCGGCACGCUGGGCCAUAACUGACGCUAAGACUCGAAAGCAUGGGUAGCGAACGGG
This 253-nucleotide ribosomal RNA is filed under the name uncultured bacterium. RNAcentral describes it as "partial 16S ribosomal RNA". It matches the Rfam family "Bacterial small subunit ribosomal RNA", at positions 524 to 776 of the family's 1533-position model. The record is from RNAcentral.